This is a non-coding RNA of Gossypium raimondii (Peruvian cotton), 132 nucleotides long. The record is from Rfam. NCBI's taxonomy places the organism in Eukaryota, Viridiplantae, Streptophyta, Magnoliopsida, Malvales, Malvaceae.
UUUUAAAAAUUUUAUCUAUUUUUUUUGUUAAAAACUGGUGCAGUUGAAGAAAUAACUAGAUGAUCUACGUGAAUCUUAUAUUGACAUACAAUGACUAGUUUUUAACAACAAAAAUGAAUGGAAUUUUUAACA